Molecule: ribosomal RNA, 440 nt
Filed under: uncultured bacterium
Lineage: Bacteria
Description: partial 16S ribosomal RNA
Rfam family: Bacterial small subunit ribosomal RNA
Source: RNAcentral
CCUACGGGAGGCAGCAGUGGGGGAUAUUGCACAAUGGGGGAAACCCUGAUGCAGCGACGCCGCGUGGGUGAAGAAGCGCCUCGGCGCGUAAAGCCCUGUCAGCAGGGAAGAAAAUGACGGUACCUGAAGAAGAAGCCCCGGCUAACUACGUGUCAGCAGCCGCGGUAAUACGUAGGGGGCAAGCGUUAUCCGGAUUUACUGGGUGUAAAGGGGGCGCAGACGGCGAUGCAAGCCAGGAGUGAAAGCCCGGGGCCCAACCCCGGGACUGCUCUUGGAACUGGGUGGCUAGAGUGCAGGAGGGGAAGGCGGAAUGCCUGGUGUAGCGGUGAAAUGCGUAGAUAUCAGGAGGAACACCGGUGGCGAAGGCGGCCUGCUGGACCGCAACUGACGUUGAGGCCCGAAAGCGUGGGGAGCAAACAGGAUUAGAUACCCCAGUAGUC